GCUCCUCACUCAACAGAUGUUAAGCAAAAAUAAAACAAAAGAAUACAAACAAAUUUUUUAGCUGUCACCGCUUAUUGAAAACGAAGGAUGUGAAAGCGUACAGCAUGAUACCGUGAAUUUGACCUUUGCUUGUUCGUUGUGACAAAUUGAAUAGUCGAUAGUUUAGAAUUGUGCAGAUUUGUGUUUGUGUAUAUUUAUUAUAUUUAAAAUAAAUAUUUAAACCUACGGAUAUUAAAUUGUGUUUCUUUAACUUUUGUGAAUAUUUUGUGUCUUCAAGAUAAUAUUUGGAAAAAGGAUGGAUUCACCAGCGCUUUUUGAUGAAACCUAUAUGAAGGAAUGCCCAACAACGUCUUCGACUCCCGUAAAAGAUUCUUUCAUCACUUGUGGACUUGCAAAUUUCGAUCAACAAAUGCGGAAGUCCAUUGAAAUGAGCCACCAUAGAUUUAAGCAAAAAAAAUAUAGGAAGCGAAAAGCUGAAUAAUAAAUGUAAUAUUUGAAUAAUUUUUUUGAUAGAAGUAUAUUUAUAUAUUAUUAUU
Bactrocera neohumeralis is the source of this 536-nucleotide long non-coding RNA. RefSeq lists it as uncharacterized. The record is from RefSeq and is a predicted model, not a curated record. Lineage: Eukaryota; Metazoa; Arthropoda; Insecta; Diptera; Tephritidae. The transcript has 3 exons.